ACGAACGCUGGCGGCGUGCUUAGCACAUGCAAGUCGAACGGAAAGGCCCUGCUUUUGUGGGGUGCUCGAGUGGCGAACGGGUGAGUAACACGUGAGUAACCUGCCCUUGACUUUGGGAUAACUUCAGGAAACUGGGGCUAAUACCGGAUAGGAGCUCCUGCUGCAUGGUGGGGGUUGGAAAGUUUCGGCGGUUGGGGAUGGACUCGCGGCUUAUCAGCUUGUUGGUGGGGUAGUGGCUUACCAAGGCUUUGACGGGUAGCCGGCCUGAGAGGGUGACCGGCGACAUUGGGACUGAGAGACGGCGCAGACUCCUACGGGAGGCAGAAGUGGGGAAUAUUGCACAAUGGGAGGAAGCCUGAUGCAGAAACGCCGCGUGCGGGAUGACGGCCUUCGGGUUGUAAACCGCUUUCGCCUGUGACGAAGCGUGAGUGACGGUAAUGGGUAAAGAAGCACCGGCUAACUACGUG
This 467-nucleotide ribosomal RNA is filed under the name uncultured bacterium. Its description in RNAcentral is "partial 16S ribosomal RNA". It matches the Rfam family "Bacterial small subunit ribosomal RNA", at positions 29 to 507 of the family's 1533-position model. The record is from RNAcentral.